UGGGGAAUAUUGGGCAAUGGGCGAAAGCCUGACCCAGCGACGCCGCGUGAAGGAAGACGGUCUUCGGAUUGUAAACUUCUUUUAUAUGGGACGAAGCAUGACGGUACCAUAUGAAUAAGCCACGGCUAACUACGUGCAAGCAGCCGCGGUAAUACGUAGGUGGCGAGCGUUAUCCGGAUUUACUGGGUGUAAAGGGUGUGUAGGCGGGACUGCAAGUCAGAUGUGAAAAGUACAGGCUUAACCUGUGACCUGCAUUUGAAACUGUGGUUCUUGAGGGUCGGAGAGGUAACUGGAAUUCCUGGUGUAGCGGUGAAAUGCGUAGAUAUCAGGAGGAACACCGGUGGCGAAGGCGGGUUACUGGACGAUUACUGACGCUGAGACACGAAAGCGUGGGGAGCAAACAGG
RNAcentral lists this ribosomal RNA (405 nucleotides) under uncultured Ruminococcus sp. Its description in RNAcentral is "bacterial SSU rRNA". It matches the Rfam family "Bacterial small subunit ribosomal RNA", at positions 355 to 776 of the family's 1533-position model. The record is from RNAcentral. Lineage: Bacteria; Bacillati; Bacillota; Clostridia; Eubacteriales; Oscillospiraceae.